GGGACACCUGGUGUCAGAGAAAUGCACACCGGGUUUUGGAGCAGAGUGGACCCUUUUAACCUACUGUGUUCCUUAGAAGUACCCUCCUGUAUAGGUAAAACUAUGGGUAGGACUCCCCCUAGUCCCAAGCCCUAGGAGCCCACAGAGCCUGGCUUCCAUAUCAGUUCACUAAAGCCUGCACUUUCCUUCCUGCCUACCUUUUGCUCUCAGGCCUGCCGUACUUAAUAGGCUUGUGUGUACAAGGAAGCCACAGGCCCUCCUGAGACCAUCUUCCUCCAUCUUCCUGGAGCAAAGGGAUCUUUGCAUUGCAGUCAGGUUGCCGUGGGGGAAAGCCUGUUUGAGUUAAAUCCUUGGAAAGAGGAUCAAGGCUUCUGUGGAAGUCAAGUCACCCAGGUGCUUGUCAUCGGGAGACUCCCCGGCCCAACCUGGGAAGAAUGGUCCCAUGGGAAAACACAAGCUGUGGGACAUGGCAAGAUGGAACAUCAAGACAAGUCAUGUUGUAUAGACAGGAUAACAAAAGGAACAAAUACAGAUGGCUUUCUUUGAACACCAGUGAGUUAGUAAGGUGAACAGAUAUUGAAACAAUACUUAGAGGAUGAAAACAGUAUGAUGUCAACUUAUUCUUGUAUUGGAUUCUGAAUUUUUAUUAUUUAAUUUGAAAAGCUUUUUGUGGGUGCACCUUAGAUCCUGUGUUCCAGUUAAUCAGGUCAUUAUCUCAAGGUUGUGGUAUAGAGCCCUGUAUCAGGCUUCUUGCUGGGUAUGGUGCCUGCUUAAGAUUCUCUACCUUUCCCUCUACACCCUUCC
RNAcentral lists this long non-coding RNA (804 nucleotides) under Mustela putorius furo (domestic ferret). RNAcentral's name for it is "lncRNA (ENSMPUG00000028568.1)". The record is from RNAcentral. Lineage: Eukaryota; Metazoa; Chordata; Mammalia; Carnivora; Mustelidae.